Acinonyx jubatus (cheetah) is the source of this 6100-nucleotide long non-coding RNA. RefSeq lists it as uncharacterized. NCBI's taxonomy places the organism in Eukaryota, Metazoa, Chordata, Mammalia, Carnivora, Felidae. The record is from RefSeq and is a predicted model, not a curated record. The transcript is spliced from 3 exons.
GAAAAAUUUAGAAGAAGAAAAAAAAUCAUUCCUUACCCCCAUUGCCCAGAGUCAAACUACUUUUUUUUUCAAGUUUAUUUUGAGAGGCAGAGAGAAAAAGUGAGCGUGAGCAGGGGAGAGGCAGAGAGAGAGAAUCCCAAGCAGGCGCACGCUGUCAGCAUGCUGAGACUGAUGCGGGACUCGAACUCAUGAACCUUGAGAACAUAAACUGAGCCGAAAUCAAGAGUCAGCCACUUAACCAACUGAGCCACCCAGGCAUCCCUCAAACUACAUUUUUAUACAUCUCUAUCCUUUCUUUUUCAAGUUUAUUUAUUUAUUUUGACAGAGAGAGGAAGAGACAGAGAGCGCAUGAGCAGGAGCUGGGCAGAGAGAGAGAGAGAGAAAGACUCCCAAGCAGGCUCAGCAUUGCCAGUCUGGAGCCCGAUGUGGGGCCUGAACUCAUGAACCAUGAGAUCAUGACCUGAGCUGAAACCAAGACCCAGAUGCUUAACUGACUGAGCCACCCAGACACCCCUACAUCUCUAUCCUUCAUGUAUAUGUAUAUGUGUGUGAUUUAUACCUCACAUAACUGGGUUUAUACUAUAUAUCCUGUUUAUAGUCUGCUUUUUGGAUUCAACAUUAUAUCAUGAGACUUUUGUCUAUCCCACUGAAAAAUCUUUACGGAUACUAUCAGUAAAAGCUGAUAUGAAUGGACCAUGAUUUCCCCAAUCAUUUCCUAUUACUGAACAUUUCAGUUGUUCCCUGUUCGGGUAGAGCAGAAGGGAGAGUCAUGUUUCGAAUGUGUCGGUUGCCAAGCUUCUGCAGCGUAACCUAAAAGAAAGCAUGUGGCUGGAUGCCCUGCUCUGAUCCCUUUGCGGAGCUGCGAGGGAUGGGUCUGCCUUCAAAUACUGUGAGUCAGUGGCUCUGUGUUUGGUUGGAACCUGAUUUUCAAGAAUGUUGUUUCUUACCGUCUCUAGAUAGGGCUAUGCUGUUUUGCUGGAGCAGGAGGCUCCCUCAUUCCACACACCUUGUGUUUAGGAAGAGUGUACAUCCUCAUUUACCUGAACGGUCCCAGUUGAUGCCAGUUAUCCCUGUGCAAUUGGUAACAGCAUCCCUUCUCACGCUUAAAAAUGUUUGCGUUUGGAAAAUGCAUGAUAGGAUCCGACACCCCAGCUGCUUUGCUCCUCCAACUUCCUGCCCUGGAGGCGUGUGAGAUGGCAAUGUGCUCCUGUCCAUUGUGGGAACGUGGUUUCCAUAGAGACUAGGAAGGGCAGCAGGGCCUCUUGGGUCUCCCUAAAACUGUACCCCAAGGACAUUAUGCCCAUGGGGCACAUAGACUUUCCAUCUUCCACACAUCAGAUAGCAUGUGAUAGAAGCAUCUCUACUAAAGUUGGUGUGGAAACUGAUCUGGAUCUUAUAUUUUUUGCAUAUUGCAUGGGAUUAUAUUAAGUCCGGAGUAUAAAUAUGUAUCUAUUUUAUUUGUGUUUUCCUAACACAGCAUGACGUGCACAAUGGCUAUUAGAUUAAUGCUAUGGAGUCACCGUCUUUAACAUUGACAUCGAAAAACCUGAAUACAGCUUGUGAUGGUUCGAUGCAGAAAAUGUUCCUGCCGGACAGAGCUAACAGAAGGGACAGUUGAACCAGAUUGUUGACAAUGGCUGCAUUUUGAAUAGUGGCAAAAAGGAAUUACAAUGACUUGCCCACCAAUGUUCACAGCGGCAUUAUUCACAACAGACAAAAGGUGGAAACAGCCCUGGUGUCCAUCAACAGGAAUGGAGAAACAAAAUGUGGUCUGUACCUUCAGUGGAAUACUACUGAUCCUUAAUAAGAAUGAAGUGCUGAUACAUUCUAGACCAUGGAGGAACCUUGAAGACAUUAUGCUAAGCGAAAGAAGCCAGACCCAAGAGGACAAAUACCAUACGAUUCUAUUUAUAUGAGGCCUUCGUGGAAAUUCCAGUACCAAUUACUCCUUCAUGGCAAGAAACUGAAGUCUUCUAUGUAACUACCUAAAGCUAAAACCUCCUUUUGUGGACCCCAUCUUUUUCACCUACUGGAGGAUGCCUUCCCCGUCUGCCCCGCGUUAUCAAAUUUUUGUUCUCUACUGAAUCCUUCCCACCACACAAACAUGUAGUUUUCAUUUUUCCCUUUCCCAUCCUUUGUCAGACAUUUUAUUUCUACAUAUGUUAGAAAUAUAGUAAUACAUUCUUAUUUUUGUUUUAAGCAACUAAACAACAACAAAAACCAACAAAAAACUUUUUCGCCCUACUUCCCCUGCCAACUAUCACCCCAUUAAGCUGCUCCCCUGUGUAGCAAAACACCUGUAAAAUAGCUUUCUGUAAUUGCAGCAUUUAAUUCCUGUUCUCUCUCUCUUAGGCCAAUUCCAAUCAGGCUUUCACUCCCUGUACAUCUGCUCUCAUCAAGGUCAAUCAUAACCACCAUUCGUGUUGUUAAAUCCAAUGCCCUACAUUCAGUCUUCAUCUUCCACUGGAUCCAAGAUCUCUAAGCAAUAUUUGUCCCAGUAGGUCACUCCAUCUUCCUUGAUUUAUUUUUUCCACCUGGCUUCCAGGGCCUGCACUCUCUUGGUUUCUUUUUCACCCCUCACUCAUCACUCCUUUUUUAAAUCUCCUUUUUAGGUUUGUCCUUCUCUCCCCAACUUCUAAACACAAGAAUGCCCAAGAAUCUUGGCUGUCCUUUUUUCCCUAUGUGCUCUCAUUUCUUUGGUGAUCUCGCAUAAUCCCAUGGUUUUAAAUACCUCAUAUUCAUCCUAUGCGGACACCAUACACGUUUCUAUCUCCAGUGCAGACCUCUCUCCUAAAUGCCAAACAUGAAUAUAUCCACUUGGAUGGCUAAGAGGAAUUUCAAAGCUAGCAUAUUUAACACUGCCUCCACCUUCAGUAUUCCCCAUUUCAAGUGGUGGCAAAUCCAUAUUCCAAUCGCUAGACUGAAAAUAUUCUUGAUUGCUUUACCUCACACACAUCACAUAUCCAUUAAGAAAUCAUGCUGGUUCUACCUUCAGAACAAGCCCAGAAUCCACACACUUCUCACCAUCUUCCUUACUACUGCUCUGGUUCAGGCUACCACCACCUCUCUCCUGAAUUACUGCUAUGUCCUCCUAAUAGGUAUCCCUGCAUCUAUCCUUCAGUUUGCUACCGAACCCGUUUACACUUAUUUCCAACAGAAGUUAGACCAUGUCACUUCUCUGUUCAUAUUUCUCCAGUGGCUCCCCAUUUCAUGCAGAGGAAAAACUAAAGUUCUUACAUAGUAGCCUAUAAGGCCCUAUGUGAUCAGUUCCCAUUACCUCCCUGACUUCAUUCCCUGCCAUUAAUAUCCUCACAGCCUUCUCCUUGGUCAUACCGGUCUUACUGUUCCUAGAACAUGCCCCUCCUUGCUACAAUGUAAGUUCUAUGAGGCAGGGGUCUUUGUAUGCUCUGUUCUCUUUUGUACCCCAAACAUACAAGAGAGCCUGGCACAACAAUAGAUUCUGCAAUAAAUAUUUGUUGAACGAACAAUCACAUAACCACCAGGCACCCCCUGAAAACAGUGAGAGAAGGUGAACUCUCUCACCUCUUUGGCUCUGGAAGAGGGUAAACUGCUGCCUGCUGGCCAACAUCAAACCCACUACUUGUUUUUGUAAAUUAAGGCGCAUUUAAACCAUGGCCCAAAACAUCAGUUUGCAUGUUAUCUGUGGCUGCUUUCCCCACACACCAGACCAGCAGAGUUGAGUAGCUGCCUCAGAAAAUGUAUGGUCCACAAGGCCAAAACUAUUUACUGUCUUGUUCUUGAUGGGAAAAUUUUGCUGAUCCCUGAUCUAGAAUUCAGAAAGGAAGAACUCAGCUAUUCCUCGCCUCCCACAAAAAUCUAACCACCAAACCCAAAGAAUGAAACACACUCAGAUUUGGGGCGGGUGACCCAGUCCCCCAGUACCAUGCAAAGAUGAUGCGAGCACUGCAGUCUGGGGGGAAGAGUGAGCUUAGAAAUGCUCCUAUCCUAUGCACAGGUGGUAUUCUGUCUGUGGAGGCAGCAAAAAGUAGCCAUGUCUGCCCACACACAUCACCAAUGGGAAGAUUAAGGAAGUUAGCUCUAUUUUUUACAUCUAUAUCAAUUAAUCUCUCAUGAGUUGAAAAAUUUCCCCUAACUGCCUAUUCUUAAUCAUGUUAGCACAGAAGGGUCAUUUAUAUCAUAUUCUGUGACCAAAUGACGCAUUCCAUUUCCUUAAAAUAGAGUCAGCUCUCAUCUGUCUUGAAAACAGGGCUUUUCUGAACACUGACUGACACAGUGGGUGAGCUGGGGGUUCAGCAGGUGCUCCUUCGGGAUGCUAAAAACCUGGCUUGAAAGAGGCAAAGAGUGGGCUGUGGGACCCCCUCCAAAAUGAGCCUGGGAUGGGCAAACCUGGGUGGAGGGCUUUCCUAGGACGUUGUCAUGGCGCUCAGGAUGACUUAGGGUUGGGAUUGCUUUGGACCUGUCUCAAAUCCCAGCCUCCCUAGGGAUUCCUUGGAAUUGGAAGGACUCUGUAUAAAGGAGCCAACUGAGAGCCAUGUAGUCUAGAUUCAUACCUCUGGUACUUGCUGGAAUGAGACCAACCUCCUGGGCGCCUGGUGACCCUGGACCCACAAAUGUGGAACUCGGCUGCCUUUGCCCUGGUCCCAGGGGGAAUAUAUUCCUAUUUCUCCAGUUCACAGGCAGAACUCUCCCUCUGGUUACGACUCCCAUCGGCUCCUCCCUCAAAGAGAAAGAAAUAAAACUCUCUAAUGUGAAGAAGAGAAGGCUGCAAAGCAUUCAUCAGUCAAAUGGCCCCCCAAAGAUGGUACCCAACCAUCACUUCGUAAAACAAAACAAAACCCACUAGACUUCAGUGCAAGGCAAGGACCAUAAUUUAGAGAUAAAUUCCACCUGAUAGCCACUGAAAAUGCCAGAAUAAAAACUGAUCUGAGGAAUAUUCAAAAGUGCUUGCAUACCAGAGAAGAAAAACAAACCUUGGUUAAUAGUCAACCACGGCAACUGAUUUCUGAGUUCAGGUCCCUCUGGGUGUCAUGGAAUCCCUAUUCUUUGGAGAAUGUUAAGACCAGGAUGGCUCUGCUGGAACUUUGGCAUAUAACUCUGGCAUACAGCUGGGUUGUAGAAACCUCUAAACUUUCCUCUGACUCCAUGUUUCCAGGAAUGACUAAAGUAAAAGGAAAUUCAAAGAGGAAAAAGAGGCAGAGGGCUAUGGUAGAUCUCUCGUUCCGAGUACCCCGUGUGCUGCCCUGGAGCUUCUGUCUCCCCAGGGUACAAAUCAAGAUGGGGCUUCUAAAGGUGGAUAUUGCUGUUGUUAAUAGCAGUACUUCCCAGGAGACUUCAUCUGCUAAUAGAAUGGUGAGAGCAAGAGAAGAUUCAGCAGAACAUUUCAAAGCACCUUGGACUAGACCUUUGCUACAUAGAUGUCUCUUUUCCUUAGUGUGGAUGAAAGCAGAGGACAGGGGGAAACAACUCAGUGGAUGACCUUUCUUUGCUGCAUUACCUGCAAGUCAAGAAGAGAAUAAUCCUGGAGGCUCUGGUCUAACCACUUCUCAGGCUCCUCCAUGAGAUAGUAAGAAUUCGCAAUAAUCUACUAACGGAUAAACAGGAAAGUUAUUUGUUGCAAGCUUGGACUUAAUAUGUGUUAAGUAAUAGAGUUAACAACCUUUACAGAGCAGGUCACCAAGCACUGCCUGGGAGGACGAAGACACCACAAGGGAGUGCUCACAGGGACACACAGAUACAAUAUUUUAAAAAUAAUUUGUCAUGUUAUUUAUUUUGAGAGAGGGAGGGAGAGAGAGUGUGCAUAUGAGCAGGGAAAGGGCAGAGAGAGAGAGAGAGAGAGAGAGAGAGAGAGAGAGACAGAAAAUCCAAAGCAGGCUCCAUCCUGUCAGCGCGAAACCCAACACAGGGCUCGAACUCACGGACCAUGAGAUCAUGACCUGAGCUGAAAUCAAGAGUCUGAUGUCUAACUGGUGGAGCCACCCAGGCACCGCAGAUAUUCUAUUUUUAAAUAAGGUGUUGAGGUGCCAGUUACCUUGACCUCAGGAAAAAUACUCAUGCAUAAAGUCACAUUGAAUUUGGACAGGAAAACUAGCAUCAUCGUACGAUUACUUGAAUACAACCG